This 524-nucleotide long non-coding RNA is filed under the name Mytilus galloprovincialis (Mediterranean mussel). Lineage: Eukaryota; Metazoa; Mollusca; Bivalvia; Mytilida; Mytilidae. The record is from RNAcentral.
GGAUGGACGGACAGACAGAUAGACGGACGGACAGACGGAUGGACAGACAGCGGUUUACCAUAAUAAGUCUGGCAAAUUGGGGUAUAAAUAUCAUGUCAACUUCAAAAUUGCUUAUCUUGGAAAGGAACAGUCCUAGGUAUGACAGUCUUCAUGGAAUGCAACUGAAAAAUUCAGACUUUUUUCAACUGUUUUUUUAUUUUACUGUAACCACAAGAAGUGGCUUCAGAGAUAUAAAUUAUAUAAUCAUUUACAGGGUGAGUUUUUAUAUUUCCAGGAUUUUUUUUUGGAUUUUUUGUUUUGAGGGGGAGGAUUAAUAUCUCAGAACUAUAUGGUGUGGGCAAACUAAAAAGGGGUAGACAACUCCUCAUCAAUCUUUCUUCUAAUUCAAUUUACAAACUCGUAUUGGUUCAAACUGCAAUUUGUUAAUUUUUUUUUCACUCUAGAAUGUUUUUAUACAUGUCCAAACUUUUUAACAAAUUAAACUAAUGUUUAUUACUGUCAAUUAAUCAAUUAUUACAUACAUA